AACAUGCGUCAGCCACAUGUGAGUCUCUCGAUGAGGAAACGCUCUCCAUCUCCUCAGCCAAUCAGUGAUCGGAGGAGUGUCAGGGGCGGGGUUCCCAUGUUGCGCUAUGGAAAAUCGUUAGGGGAUACACUGUGACAAACAUGCGCUCUGAGAUUGAUAAUAACCAGAAUAAGGCCAAAACGGGAACCUGGCGGAGUCAAUAUUCAGCGAGGGCCGGAACUGGGUGGCGCCGGCCAGGAUGAGGUACACAUUUCUUCAGUACAGAUGGAGGAAAGGCUUGAGCUAAACACUCGGCCCCAUUUGGACCAGGAGCAGCACCGGAUGACUGAAGUUGGCCCAGGAGAAGGCAUAGUAUAUGCCAUCAUGCCUGACAAAGAAGUCUGCGGGAACGCUGCUGAGAUCUAUUUUUCCACACCGUGAUUCACUGACAGUUUCUGCCAGGCUUGAUCUGUGUUUCCAUUUCGCUACUAUGCCCUACCAUCCUGAGAACUUGGCCAUCUGAUGCACUAACAAGCUGCUAAAACGUUGAGCUGAGUAUCUGUUUCCUUUUUAGGUUCAGGAAACUUUACAGCAUCAGCUUGCCUAUCUUUCAAAAAGUCUUUAUAUUGUACACUAUGCCCAAAUUACAUAGUGUGCAUGUACAUGUAGAUGUCUGUUUUGAAAAAUAGACAUCUAUUCAUAAAAAAUAAAAAAAAUACAGGCUGGAAUUCAGUCUUUCAUUAUCAGACAUUCUUUUGUGAAAUUGCAGCUCUCUACUUAACCUUGAAGGCUGCUUAAAACAAUGAGGAGCAGUUUGUUUUUCAUACUUUCAUAGAAGCAAAACGUAGAUCAGCAUUCUCUUGAGAUAAAAUAGCUUGCUGCUAUAAUGCAGUGAGAGCAAAAAAACAAACAGGCAAGAGAAUGCCAACAGCAUUCUCCUGCCCUAUUUGAUAAGAGGAAAAACAGAAUAAAAAAAGAAAUAUAAGACUGGCAGUAGGUCAAUGACGCUUUCACUGAUGUUGUUCGAUGUUGAUUAAAGUGUUCUGACAAUGCACAUGUGAAGGUGCUGCAUUUCUAGGUCCAUCCUUGCAGAUAAAUCAUAAAACAUGUUGAAAACAACGACAUUAGUUUAUUUCCCCCCAGGUGUGCCAGAAGCUGUGUCAGCUUGAAAGUCCUCCUCCCCAGGGAACUGGUUUCAGAUGGUGUCUUAGAGUCUAAAAUCCCAUCUAGCACCAUUUGAAAUCGGUGUUCUUGAGCGGGAACAGACUUCACUUUAGCAAUCAGUGUAGGACUGCUGUUUGGUUUGUGAUGGUAAUUUUCAAAACAAUUUGAAAUAGGACCGGGAAUGGGAUGCAUAUUGACAGACUGUAUGGCUCUACAAAACAUCAGCUAUUAAAUAGACAAGAGCAUAGGAAUCCAUUCUUCCGACCCUCUAAUCAAGGCUGACCGUUUUCCUCUGGUGUUCAGAGUUUCCAUCAUGUCUAGCACCAUUUGAAAUCGGUUACAAUGUGGGGGGAAAAUCAACAUUUUACAUGGUGAAUAUCCACCAAAGGCCACAAGAUGGCAGCAUUGCACUUACUUAUUUCAGUCAACAAAGCCACAGAGCUGGAAGAAUCCCUAAAGCAGGAAUGAGGACUAUGUGCAAAUCUGAAUUGUUUUGAUGGAAUAAAAACGUAUUAUUGUUAUUGAAAAA
This is a long non-coding RNA of Poecilia latipinna (sailfin molly), 1672 nucleotides long. RefSeq lists it as uncharacterized. Lineage: Eukaryota; Metazoa; Chordata; Actinopteri; Cyprinodontiformes; Poeciliidae. The transcript is spliced from 2 exons. The record is from RefSeq and is a predicted model, not a curated record.